CCAAUAGCGUAUAUUAAAGUUGUUGCAGUUAAAAAGCUCGUAGUUGAAUUUCGGGAUCAAAUUGUCGGUCGUGCCUCGGUACGAACUGGUAUUAUUGGUUCCUCCCUUCUGAAGAACCGCGAUGUCAUUAAUUUGGUGUCGUGGGGAAUCAGGACUGUUACUUUGAAAAAAUUAGAGUGUUUAAAGCAGGCUUACGCUUGAAUACAUUAGCAUGGAAUAAUGAAAUAGGACGUUUGAUUCUAUUUUGUUGGUUUCUAGGAUCGACGUAAUGAUUAAUAGGGAUAGUUGGGGGCAUUAGUAUUCAAUUGUCAGAGGUGAAAUUCUUGGAUUUAUUGAAGACUAACUACUGCGAAAGCAUUUGCCAAGGAUGUUUUCAUUAAUCAAGAACGAAAGUUAGGGGAUCGAAGACGAUCAGAUACCGUCGUAGUCUUAACCAUAAACUAUGCCGACUAGGGAUCGGAUGAUGUUAAUUUUUUAAUGACUCAUUCGGCGCCUUACG
This 499-nucleotide ribosomal RNA is filed under the name uncultured Glomeromycotina. Its description in RNAcentral is "partial small subunit ribosomal RNA". It matches the Rfam family "Eukaryotic small subunit ribosomal RNA", at positions 591 to 1092 of the family's 1831-position model. Lineage: Eukaryota; Fungi; Glomeromycota. The record is from RNAcentral.